ACCUAUUGCCUAAGCAUAGAUAUAUCAGGG
This 30-nucleotide non-coding RNA is filed under the name Mus musculus (house mouse). Lineage: Eukaryota; Metazoa; Chordata; Mammalia; Rodentia; Muridae. The record is from RNAcentral.